RNAcentral lists this ribosomal RNA (514 nucleotides) under uncultured bacterium. RNAcentral describes it as "partial 16S ribosomal RNA". It matches the Rfam family "Bacterial small subunit ribosomal RNA", at positions 28 to 523 of the family's 1533-position model. The record is from RNAcentral.
GAUGAACGCUGGCGGCGUGCCUAAUACAUGCAAGUCGAGCGAACAGAUGAGAAGCUUGCUUCUCUGAUGUUAGCGGCGGACGGGUGAGUAACACGUGGGUAACCUACCUAUAAGACUGGGAUAACUCCGGGAAACCGGGGCUAAUACCGGAUAAUAUUUUGAACUGCAUGGUUCAAUAGUGAAUGACGGUCUCGGCUGUCACUUAUAGAUGGACCCGCGCCGUAUUAGCUAGUUGGUAAGGUAACGGCUUACCAAGGCGACGAUACGUAGCCGACCUGAGAGGGUGAUCGGCCACACUGGAACUGAGACACGGUCCAGACUCCUACGGGAGGCAGCAGUAGGGAAUCUUCCGCAAUGGGCGAAAGCCUGACGGAGCAACGCCGCGUGAGUGAUGAAGGUCUUCGGAUCGUAAAACUCUGUUGUUAGGGAAGAACAAAUUUGUUAGUAACUGAACAAGUCUUGACGGUACCUAACCAGAAAGCCACGGCUAACUACGUGCCAGCCGCCGCCGUAA